ACCCGCACAAGCGGUGGAUGAUGUGGAUUAAUCGAUGCAACGCGAAGAACCUUACUACCCUUGACAUGUCCGGAACUUGCCAGAGGUGGCUUGGUGGCCCGAAAGGGGAAUCGGAACACAGGUGCUGCAUGGCUGUCGUCAGCUCGUGUCGUGAGAUGUUGGGUUAAGUCCCGCAACGAGCGCAACCCUUAUCAUUAGUUGCUACGCAAGGGCACUCUAAUGAGACUGCCGGUGACAAACCGGAGGAAGGUGGGGAUGACGUCAAGUCCUCAUGGCCCUUAUGGGUAGGGCUUCACACGUCAUACAAUGGUCGGUACAGAGGGUUGCCAAGCCGCGAGGCGGAGCCAAUCCCACAAAGCCGAUCGUAGUCCGGAUUGUUCUCUGCAACUCGAGAGCAUGAAGUCGGAAUCGCUAGUAAUCGCAGGUCAGCAUACUGCGGUGAAUACGUUCCCGGGUCUU
RNAcentral lists this ribosomal RNA (459 nucleotides) under uncultured Thiobacillus sp. Its description in RNAcentral is "bacterial SSU rRNA". It matches the Rfam family "Bacterial small subunit ribosomal RNA", at positions 919 to 1382 of the family's 1533-position model. Lineage: Bacteria; Pseudomonadati; Pseudomonadota; Betaproteobacteria; Nitrosomonadales; Thiobacillaceae. The record is from RNAcentral.